This 2048-nucleotide unclassified non-coding RNA is filed under the name Hevea brasiliensis (rubber tree). The record is from RNAcentral. Lineage: Eukaryota; Viridiplantae; Streptophyta; Magnoliopsida; Malpighiales; Euphorbiaceae.
AUUAUUAUUAUUAUUAUUAAAAUAUUAUUAUUACACUCAUUAAUUAUUUUAUUAAUGAACAAUUAUUCCUUCCCUAAUCCUUUCUUCACAUCAAACGCACUUAACGACACGCCCAAACGGGCUGCCUAACGAUCAUUACAAUACACACUUGUUUCUCUCUUAUAGAAAAGUUUUCUACCUUUCUAAUUUAUUUUCCCUCACUUUCUCUCUUUCCAAACGCAGCUGACAGCACCCUUUUAUUUUCUUUCCUUUAUCCUCUGACACUUCUCUGCAGCUUUCUAAUCGUACUUCUCUUGUCCUUGUUUACAAGAUUUUGUCUCUUUUCUCUCGAAAGCUCUUCAGCCUUUCGAUUCUCUAUCUCCGAUCAUGCUUCAAAGCUUAGUUCCUCAAUCGCCAAUCAAUUCUAGUUCUAAACCCAACAAUUCUACUUCCUCCAUGAAGACAAAGCGCGUCGACAAAGAACUGGCGGGUGGGGACGCCUCAGGAGGCGCUGACGACCCUUCUGCCAAACGACCUAACUUCUCCACUGAGGCCACUGUCUCCGGCGACAAAACUACUGGCGAGGAAGAUUCCACGGAGUCCACUGGUCUCAGGCUCCUUGGCCUUUUGCUACAAUGCGCAGAGUGCGUUGCCAUGGACAACCUCGACGACGCGUCCGAUCUCCUUCCUGAGAUCUCCGAGCUCUCAUCUCCGUUCGGAUCGUCCCCUGAGCGCGUCGGUGCCUACUUCGCUCACGCGCUCCAUGCGCGUGUGGUAAGUUCCUGCUUGGGUACCUAUUCACCUCUCACCUCCAAAUCCCUAACCCUAACUCAGUCUCAAAAAAUCUUCAACGCGUUUCAGUCCUACAAUUCAAUCAGUCCGUUAAUCAAGUUCUCUCACUUCACUGCCAACCAAUCAAUUUUCCAAGCAUUGGACGGUGAGGAUCGUGUCCACGUCAUCGAUCUCGAUAUCAUGCAAGGCCUUCAAUGGCCAGGAUUGUUCCACAUACUUGCUUCAAGAACCAAGAAGGUCCGAUCCAUGAGAAUAACCGGGUUCGGAUCAUCCUCCGAGUUGCUCGAGUCAACAGGGAAGAGACUCGCAGAUUUCGCGAACUCACUAGGCCUGCCCUUCGAAUUCCAUCCUGUGGAGGGUAAAAUUGGAAAUGUGACAGAUGUUAGUCAACUCGGUGUUAGACCAAGGGAGGCGGUUGUGGUUCACUGGAUGCAUCACUGUCUUUACGAUAUAACUGGGAGCGAUUUAGGGACGUUGAGAUUGUUGACUUUGUUGAGGCCCAAAUUGAUCACGACCGUUGAACAAGACUUGAGCCAUGGAGGUAGUUUUUUAGGGAGGUUCGUGGAGGCUUUGCAUUAUUAUAGUGCUUUAUUUGAUGCGCUAGGGGAUGGAUUGGGUGCAGACAGCGUGGAGAGGCAUACAGUGGAGCAGCAGUUGUUUGGUUCGGAGAUUAGAAACAUUGUGGCUGUUGGUGGGCCCAAGAGGACCGGUGAGGUGAAGGUGGAGAGAUGGGGGGAUGAGUUGAGACGCGUCGGGUUUCAACCCGUUUCACUUGGCGGUAACCCGGCCGCCCAAGCUAGCCUGUUACUUGGUAUGUUCCCUUGGAAAGGAUAUACUUUGGUGGAGGAAAAUGGUUGCUUAAAAUUAGGAUGGAAAGAUUUGUCUUUGUUGACGGCCUCUGCGUGGCGGCCGUCGGAAUAAAUUACUUUUGAUCGAAUAGAUUACAAAACUGUGUUGAUUGAUGAAACCAAUGGGAUCAAUCAUUGGUGUGAUCGGAGGAGUCCAUCGACAAGUAGCUUUGAAUCAUCAUUUGGUAUUGAACUGUUGAUAAUGUUGAAAAAGUGAAGAGAAUUUCUCUCUUGUAAUAAUUUAUGAACAAAAAAAAAAUGGUAGAAAUCCCUUGGUCCAAUGAUUGUCUCAUAGACUCUUAUUUCAUUCAUUUAAAAAUUUUUCUUUUAAGUACAAUUUUAUAGAUUAGUUAUUGAAGUGAAUUCGCUUUGUUCACUUUUCAUGUACUUUGAAGUGGAAAAGUUUUCAUUUUGGGUUCAAGAAAAAAG